GACGAACGCUGGCGGCGUGCCUAAUACAUGCAAGUAGAACGCUGAAAUAAGAGCUUGCUCUUAUGGAUGAGUUGCGAACGGGUGAGUAACACGUGGGGAACCUACCUUCUAGCGGGGGAUAACACAUAGAAAUGUGUGCUAAUACCGCAUAAUAGUAUUUGAUGCAUAUCAGAUACUUGAAAGGCGCAAUUGCGUCACUAGAAGAUGGCCCCGCGGUGCAUUAGCUAGUUGGUGAGGUAACGGCUCACCAAGGCAAUGAUGCAUAGCCGACCUGAGAGGGUGAUCGGCCACACUGGGACUGAGACACGGCCCAGACUCCUACGGGAGGCAGCAGUAGGGAAUCUUCGGCAAUGGACGCAAGUCUGACCGAGCAACGCCGCGUGAGUGAAGAAGGUUUUCGGAUCGUAAAACUCUGUUGUAAGAGAAGAACGUUGAUGA
This 438-nucleotide ribosomal RNA is filed under the name Bacilli bacterium oral taxon C35. RNAcentral's name for it is "bacterial SSU rRNA". It matches the Rfam family "Bacterial small subunit ribosomal RNA", at positions 28 to 458 of the family's 1533-position model. The record is from RNAcentral. Lineage: Bacteria; Bacillati; Bacillota; Bacilli.